UGCAAGUGAUGAACAAAUUGACGCUUGCGUUUUUCACUUUUAAUUAGGCUAAAUUACAGAAAAUCCUCUUGUAAUAAUCCGUUUUUUUACUUUUCCUUUCUGACAUUUAAAAACCUACACUUUGUCCCCUUGUAAAAUAAAAAAUGUGCACUUCAUCCCCUACCGUUAGAGUUCCGUCAGGGUUCCGUUAAAAUAUAUAUUUUUAUGCCGAAAAUACCCCUCCGUCAUCUCCCUGUUGCUUCGACUCCCUCCGGCUCGCCACCUCGCCGCCGCCUCGCCGCCUCGCCGCCUAGCCGUCUCGCCGUCCUCCACUGCCUCGCCCUCACCCACAUCCCCUCCGCCGUCCUCCGCCGCCUCGCCUUCACCUUCUUUGCCCUUCUCCUACUGUUGCCCACCUCGGUUUUCUCCUACUGUCGCCGAAAUCGAGGGCGGCGAGGGUGCAAGAGGAGAAGGGGAGCAGGUGGAGAAAGAAAUGGAGAGAAAUCGCGACGGAUUGAGGUGGGAAUCGCGGCCGAACGAAGAGGCGGCUAAGGAAGAUGGAGAAGAAGACGACAAUGGCGAGGAGCAAAAUGAUCAUUUUACACACUGUAAUCCUCCUGUGAAUAUUUUUUGGGCAAAGUGUAGGAUUUUAAAUGUCAAUUGGAAAAAGUGAAAAAACUGAUUAUUAUAGAAAAAUUUUCUGUAAUUUAACCUUUUAAUUAUGUGAUUGCUAUAAGAAAAGUUUUCUGAUCUAC
RNAcentral lists this long non-coding RNA (734 nucleotides) under Ananas comosus (pineapple). Its description in RNAcentral is "long non-coding RNA (ACOM_LNC018782)". The record is from RNAcentral. Lineage: Eukaryota; Viridiplantae; Streptophyta; Magnoliopsida; Poales; Bromeliaceae.